UACGUAGGGGGCAAGCGUUGUCCGGAUUUAUUGGGCGUAAAGAGCGUGUAGGCGGCUUGGUAGGUCCGCUGUGAAAACUCGAGGCUCAACCUCGAGAUGUCGGCGGAAACCACUUGGCUAGAGUCCGGAAGAGGAGAGUGGAAUUCCUGGUGUAGCGGUGAAAUGCGCAGAUAUCAGGAAGAACACCCGUGGCGAAGGCGGCUCUCUGGUACGUGACUGACGCUGAGACGCGAAAGCGUGGGGAGCGAACAGG
RNAcentral lists this ribosomal RNA (253 nucleotides) under uncultured bacterium. RNAcentral describes it as "partial 16S ribosomal RNA". It matches the Rfam family "Bacterial small subunit ribosomal RNA", at positions 524 to 776 of the family's 1533-position model. The record is from RNAcentral.